AUAUAAAAAAGAAGAUGUGGUAUGAUUGCCAAUGAGACAACUAUCCACAAAAGACCAAAAACAUUAACAACUAUAGGUCACCGUACGGCCUUCAACAAUGAGCAAAGCCCAUACCGCAUAGUCAGCUAUAAAAGGCCCCGAUAAGACAAUGUAAAACAAUUCAAACGAGAAAACUAACGGCCUUAUUUAUGUAAAAAAAAAAAAAAUGAACGAAAAACAAAUAUGUAACACAUAAACAAACGACAACCACUGAAUUACAGGCUCCUGACUUUGGACAGGCACAUACAUAAAUAAUGUGGCGGGGUUAA
RNAcentral lists this long non-coding RNA (308 nucleotides) under Mytilus galloprovincialis (Mediterranean mussel). Lineage: Eukaryota; Metazoa; Mollusca; Bivalvia; Mytilida; Mytilidae. The record is from RNAcentral.